RNAcentral lists this long non-coding RNA (212 nucleotides) under Daucus carota (carrot). RNAcentral's name for it is "long non-coding RNA (DCAR_LNC004271)". The record is from RNAcentral. Lineage: Eukaryota; Viridiplantae; Streptophyta; Magnoliopsida; Apiales; Apiaceae.
CAUAUAUCUCACCUUUUCCUUAAGCGUUAUCUAACACAUAAUAAAACAAGGCCAUCAUACGUAGCCCUACAAUCGCUACAGUCCAACAGCAGAGAGCCUACAUACAUAGCCCAUUCUUCGCUAUGGCUACUCUGCCACAAGGCCAUCAUACGUAGCCCUACAAUCGCUACAGCCCAACAGCAGAGAGCCUACAUACAUAGCCCAUUCUUCGC